CUCUUUCCGUAGUAUCCCGGCUCAAACGGCGCGCGCGCACGGGACAGGCGUUGCGCGCUCCGGGCCAUGGCGGUCCACGUACUUUGGUUGGUGGCUGCUUUGGUGUUGAGAGGAGUGAAAACGCAAAAUUACGACUAUGAAAGAGGCGACGUAGAA
Long non-coding RNA from Melitaea cinxia (Glanville fritillary), 156 nucleotides. RefSeq lists it as uncharacterized. Lineage: Eukaryota; Metazoa; Arthropoda; Insecta; Lepidoptera; Nymphalidae. The record is from RefSeq and is a predicted model, not a curated record. The transcript has 3 exons.